RNAcentral lists this long non-coding RNA (4548 nucleotides) under Homo sapiens (human). RNAcentral's name for it is "HSALNT0132271". The record is from RNAcentral. Lineage: Eukaryota; Metazoa; Chordata; Mammalia; Primates; Hominidae.
GGGCAACCCGCAUCAUUGUUCCAGCAUUGCAACAUUGUUCCACCCUCUUAAUCCAAAAGCAUUCUAGUGUGUUGGCUCCCAGCUCACGCCCUGACCGUGGACUGAUCCGGCCUGCCCUGAGGUUACCUUCCCUGCUCAUCAGGUGUGAGGACCUGGGCAAGUCACUGCACCUCUCUAGGCUUCAUUGUUCUCUCCUGGAAAAUGGGACCUGGCACCAGGACUUAAGCACAGGUUUGCGGUAAGCAUGUGGUGACCUAGUGAAAGGCGCGCUUACCAUCAUCCCUGGUAUGCUAAGCCCCUAGUACGUGUGGCUGUUUGAAUCAUCUGCUUCAUCAUCUUUUAAAGCAAUGUUGCUUCUAAUCCGCAUUUUGGUCCUAAAGGGCCCUUGACUUUCAGGAGGAUUUUUGUUGGCAUGGAUUUGUUUAAAUGAACGUAAUGCAACGGGGAAGCUUCUGUUCCUGAUUGUGAACUAUUGUAGCUCUCAGGUAGUGUCACACACACAGGAAAUACUUCUUGGACUGCAUGCUCUGCCAGCACUGACCACCAAGUACUUCCAGGUCAAGCUAGUCCCCUGCCCUCGCAUCGCCAAAACUCCUCCCUUCAGGUGGCCAAGCGGUACUGCUCUGAAUAGCACCAUGAAAACACAGAAAGAUGACAUGUUUGUAAGGAUGAACAUUUGAGAAAUCUCACCAGCAUUCAAAAGGCAGAAACUUCCACCUUGUCCAUGUAUGAGAUGCAUAUACAGAGAUCAUGGAAACAUCACACAGCAAAGUCUUUCUCCAGCAACUUGCUUUCAGAUACAAAGCGACACUCCAAUGUCAGAAAUCAUUUUAGAAAUUGCUUUUCCCUUUACAAAGCUCUGAACUUUGACUAAUUCCUCAAAGACACUUGUGUUUAUAUGGCUGUUUAUUUACUUAUUGUCCCUGGGUUGUUCAAUAGGUCUCUUGACAUCAUUCCUCCUAUCAUUUUGUAUCCUUUGACCAAUGUGCCCCCAAUACUUCCCAGCUCAACCAAGUCCAGCCUCCAGUAACCUCCCAUCUACUCCUUCUUUCUAUGUAUCAACUCUUUUAGGUCCCACGUACAAGUGAGAUCAUGCGGUAUCUGUGUUUCUGUACCUGGCUUAUUUCAUUUAGCAUAAUUAGGAUUUUAUUCUUUUUUUCAGCUGAAUGAUAUGCAAAUGUAUGUAUGUAUACACCCCCCCCACCCCCCCCACACACAGUUUCUUUACUCAUUCAUCUGAUAGAUAUUUAGGUUAAUUUCAUACCUUAACUAUGGUGAACGGUGCUGCAGUGAACAUGAGGUGCAGACUACCUUUCACAUAAUGAUUGUGUUUCCUUUGGAUGUAUUACCCAGCAGUGGGAUUGCUGGAUCAUAUGGUAGUUCUGUUUUUAAAGUUUUUCAGGAACCUCCAUACAGUUUUCCAUAGUGGCUAUACUAAUUUAUAUUACAACUAAGAGUGUACAAGAAAUUCCCUUUCCUCCACAUCUUCUCCAACACUUACCUGUUGCCUUUUUGAUAAUAGUUAUUCUGACAGAUAUGAGAUGAUACCUCAUUAUGGUUUAAGUUGCAUUUCCCUAAUGAUUAAUGAAGUUAAACAUUUUUUCAUCUAGCUUUUGGCCAUUUGUAUGUCUUAUUUUGAGAAGUGUCUAUUCAGAUCUUCUGUUUCAUUUUAAAUUAAGUUACUUGUUUUCUUAAUAUUGAGUCGUUCAGGUUCUGUACAUGUUUUAGUUAUUACCUCCUGGUCAGACAUGUGAUUUACAAAUAUGUUCUCUCUUUCUGUAGGUUGUCUCUUCACUCUGUUGAUCAUUUCCUUGGCUGUGCAGAAGCUUUUAAGUUUGAUGUAAUCUGAUUUGUCUAUUUUUGCUUUUGUUGCCUCUGCUUUUGCGUUCAUAUUCAAAUAAAUUAUUGCCCAGAUCAACAUCAUGUAUAGGGAUACUUACUAUUUCAAUGUAAACUUACCAAAAUCACAAAAAAUGUAUUGUUAGAAAGUAACUAUGCCACAUAAUGUUUCCACACAAGACUGUGCAACUUGUAUAAACUGUAUUACAUGAUGAAAAUCUCACAAUAGUGCUCAAAACCUCAGGUGUCUAUCUCAAAAGAAGACACAGUCAUUAGAUUGCCUUAUAAUUUGGAUUUUCCUUGAUUAAAAUUUCACAUUCACAUUUGUAUUUCCUUACCUCUGUAGAAAUAGCAUUAAAAGUAAUUCCCCAGGCAUCUGUGAUUGCUCUAGGAAUUUUUAUAUAAAACCUAUAUAUAUAUACACACACACACACACACACAUAUACAUAUAUAUGUGUGUGUCUAAAAAUAGUGUAUAUGUGACAUAGAAUUAUAUUUUGGAUAUAUUAAAUUGUCAUAUCUUUAUUCUUCAUUUUGUAGUCUAGGCAACUAAAUAACCACCAAAGUGACAAAAUAAGGGUACCUUUUCAUAACUUAGAAACCAAGGAAGAAUGACACAAUAUGCUAAUAAAAUUUUCUCCCAAUUUCAACUGGAACAAUUAAAUGAUAAAUUCCUAUGUAGAGAAAUGCAAUCAUCUAUAAUUUCUUCAUUUCAGGUCAGUUAAUAUGACCAUUUAAGCCUGUAUUUCCUAUUGCACUUCUCUUUUAGGUUGACAAAGAAAACAAAUCAGAAAUUCAACUAGCAGUUUUCCAAAAUAAAACAGUAAGGCUUAUUACCCUGACCUUAGCAGUUGGUACCCAAUUUAGUAUCUUUAUACUACGAUGGUUUUCUUGUAAAUGUUAUCCUUGGCCACAUCUAAAAUAACAAGUUUUUACUUAACAUUUAUUUUUUUCUAAAGAAAUUCAGUCUCUAGAAGGAAAUAAACCUGGCAGAAAUAGAAUUCCUACUUUUCUCCCUUAUGCUAGGCUCUAGAAAUACUGAGGAAAUCAUCCGCUUUCAGGACUGUUCUUGAAAGUGAUAACUUGCAUGCACUUGAGCCGCAUCUCCCCUUCCCAGCACACCUGAACCCCAGGUCCCACUGUUGAUCUCCCUCUUCAAAGCAGCUCUGUUAUCUUCCUGAAACUGGAGAGGGAGAGGCUUACUCCUACUUUCAAACCAAAAACAGAUUUAGACCCGAAAGGAUUUAAAAAUAACCUAAAAAUAAAGUCCCAAAGCUGGCUUUUCUAUGUUCAAUCACACAACACUCGAAACAAUUGUGUGUUGCUUUGAGUCCCAAAUGCUUUAAUUUUUUUAAAGAAUAUGCAGUUCACUUUCUUAUUCCAGCAAACAUCGCAUUUAUACUAUCAAUAUGUCCAGGGUUUACUAAAACUUCAUAAAUGACUCUCUGAUAUUUGAAAGGGCAAGAUUAGAGUGGCUUCGUAUUUCAAACACAUACGUCAAAGAGUUGCGUAACACAUAUGCACAUAUUAAAGUUAUUACAGAUGUGAAAAUCUGCUUUUUUUUCCUGCCAAAGAAACAUGUACUUCCUUCAUGAAGAAUUUCCUAAACAAAUUUUGCCAGUUUAAUUGCCUAUAGAAAUUUAUUUUUAAAACAUUUUAUUUAAACCAUGUAAGUCCCAAGGUAGUCUGUGAACGUGAACUUUAAAGCUAACAUUUUUGUCACUAGUUCCUUUUUGCUAUGUCAGAAAAGAAAACAAUUCACAGCCAUUUUAUUUUUCCAGUUUUUCUCAAGGUUAGAGACUGUCUCAACCUCAUAGGCUCAGAAGAAUGCCUUUAUUUUCCCAUGAAAAGAUAAUCCUGAAGUAAUAUUUGCAGCAAGAGGCCAUUAGGCAAGUGUUGACCCUUUAUGGCUAGUCCAAUUUCCUCUCUAUGUGAGAUAUUAGUAAUUAAAUUCAGAUUUCUGUGUAUUUAUUUUCUUUCCUCAACUCUGUUCAUGGAUGCCAUUUUUAGGUAUCUCUUGCCACUUGAGCAAUCAAUAAGCAAAAGAGAGAUUUGUAAGAGGCCUUAAAAGGAGAGAAAGAGGAUUUUUCUCUUAGGCCCAGUUAUAGAAUCAGUUGUUAUUUUUUGGUCUGCAAUAAAUUUUUCCCAUAUCUGUAUGGGCAUUCCACCCGCGAGUUUCAGUUCUCUUAUUGCUUUUCUAAAUGUCUUGAGAGGUCACUAGAAAAUUAUUACAGUUCAUUAUUAUCCAGAAACUCCAACUUCUGACAUAAAGUAGCAAUUAUUUUUAACUUAAUCACAGACUAACAUAGUUUUGGAUGUUGGAAGAAAUAAUGCUAAAAUUGUAUAGCUCAAAAAAAAGAAAGAGAGAGAGAGAGAGAGAAAGACAGCCUGAAUAUGUCUUGAGUUUGAGAAUUUUUCAAUCUUGCUUUAUUCUCAGGGAUAAUUUUCAAACCUGAAAUUAAAUAGAUCAGUUGAGACAUGGAAUAAGCUUCUAUGGAGGCUCAUUAUAAAACUCAUGUAGAGUCUAAUCAUUCUUCCUAACACUCAUUUUUCCACCCACUAAAUCAUUAGCUUCAUUAACAGUGAUUAAAACUAAACCUCAAUCUGGCAGAGUUGGAUGGAUUCUCACGUCCUUCUAAUGACUAUAGUCUAAAGCACCCCACUGGGAAAGUGAGUGCUUCCUGGAGCCCGUGGACACAGAGGGAAGAG